This 254-nucleotide ribosomal RNA is filed under the name uncultured bacterium. RNAcentral's name for it is "partial 16S ribosomal RNA". It matches the Rfam family "Bacterial small subunit ribosomal RNA", at positions 524 to 776 of the family's 1533-position model. The record is from RNAcentral.
UACGAAGGGGGCGAGCGUUGUUCGGAUUUACUGGGCGUAAAGGGCGCGCAGGCGGCUCAUUUUGUCAGGCGUGAAAGCCCCGGGCUUAACCUGGGAACUGCGUUUGAUACGGAUGGGCUAGAGUUCGGGAGAGGAGAGUGGAAUUCCCAGUGUAGAGGUGAAAUGCGCAGAUAUCGAGGAAGAACACCAAUGCGAAAGCAGCUCAUCUGGGACGGUACUGACGCUGAGACGCGAAAGCGUGGGGAGCGAACAGG